AAGGCUGUCCCUAGUACGAGAGGACCGGGACGGACGCAGCUCUCGUGUGCCAGUUGUCCUGCCAAGGGCAUGGCUGGUUUGCGACCUGCGGAAGGGAUAAGCGCUGAAAGCAUCUAAGCGCGAAGCUCGUUCCAAGAUGAAAUCUCCCACAGGGUUAACCUGGUAAGGCCCGUGGUCAGACCACCACGUUGAUAGGCCGGAGGUGUAAGCACGGCAACGUGUUCAGCCGACCGGUACUAAUCGGCCGAGGGCUUGGGGCUC
Molecule: ribosomal RNA, 261 nt
Filed under: Actinomycetota bacterium
Lineage: Bacteria; Bacillati; Actinomycetota
Description: partial 23S ribosomal RNA
Rfam family: Bacterial large subunit ribosomal RNA
Source: RNAcentral